CGAUGAAGGGCGUGCUAAUCUGCGAUAAGCGCCGGUAAGGUGAUAUGAACCGUUAUAACCGGCGAUACCCGAAUGGGGAAACCCAGUGUGAUUCGUCACACUAUCAUUAACUGAAUCCAUAGGUUAAUGAGGCGAACCGGGGGAACUGAAACAUCUAAGUACCCCGAGGAAAAGAAAUCAACCGAGAUUCCCCCAGUAGCGGCGAGCGAACGGGGAGGAGCCCAGAGCCUGAAUCAGCAUGUGUGUUAGUGGAAGCGUCUGGAAAGGCGCGCGAUACAGGGUGACAGCCCCGUACACAAAAGCGCAUAUGCUGUGAGCUCGAUGAGUAGGGCGGGACACGUGGUAUCCUGUCUGAAUAUGGGGGGACCAUCCUCCAAGGCUAAAUACUCCUGACUGACCGAUAGUGAACCAGUACCGUGAGGGAAAGGCGAAAAGAACCCCGGCGAGGGGAGUGAAAAAGAACCUGAAACCGUGUACGUACAAGCAGUGGGAGCCCCACCACUAAGCCAGUGGUGAACUCCACAUACGCAUCCUUUGCUGAGGAGACGGUUAACGGAGCGAAAGCGACGUUCAACCUCAAAAGAAGCAGAGGGGGCUUAGUGGUGGGGUGACUGCGUACCUUUUGUAUAAUGGGUCAGCGACUUAUAUUCUGUAGCAAGGUUAACUGUAUAGGGGAGCCGGAGGGAAACCGAGUCUUAACCGGGCGUUAAGUUGCAGGGUAUAGACCCGAAACCCGGUGAUCUAGCCAUGGGCAGGUUGAAGGUUGGGUAACACUAACUGGAGGACCGAACCGACUAAUGUUGAAAAAUUAGCGGAUGACCUGUGGCUGGGGGUGAAAGGCCAAUCAAACCGGGAGAUAGCUGGUUCUCCCCGAAAGCUAUUUAGGUAGCGCCUCGUGAAUUCAUCUCCGGGGGUAGAGCACUGUUUCGGCUAGGGGGCCAUCCCGGCUUACCAACCCGAUGCAAACUGCGAAUACCGGAGAAUGUUAUCACGGGAGACACACGGCGGGUGCUAAUGUCCGUCGUGAAGAGGGAAACAACCCAGACCGCCAGCUAAGGUCCCAAAGUCAUGGUUAAGUGGGAAACGAUGUGGGAAGGCCCAGACAGCCAGGAUGUUGGCUUAGAAGCAGCCAUCAUUUAAAGAAAGCGUAAUAGCUCACUGGUCGAGUCGGCCUGCGCGGAAGAUGUAACGGGGCUAAACCAUGCACCGAAGCUGCGGCAGCGACACCGUGUGUUGUUGGGUAGGGGAGCGUUCUGUAAGCCUGUGAAGGUGUGCUGUGAGGCAUGCUGGAGGUAUCAGAAGUGCGAAUGCUGACAUAA
RNAcentral lists this ribosomal RNA (1319 nucleotides) under Salmonella enterica. RNAcentral's name for it is "partial 23S ribosomal RNA". It matches the Rfam family "Bacterial large subunit ribosomal RNA", at positions 47 to 1305 of the family's 2925-position model. The record is from RNAcentral. Lineage: Bacteria; Pseudomonadati; Pseudomonadota; Gammaproteobacteria; Enterobacterales; Enterobacteriaceae.